CAUUAGCAAAGUUGACAUGGAUGCUAACAUUGCUGUGUCGGACUUCGUGGAAGUAAAACGGGUUAUCAUACGGACAGAUAUCACUUUCACCGGAAAAUGGGGAGACGGUGAUGGUGUUCUUCUCACUGAAAUAAGGGUCGCAGUGGGCCUGGAGCCUACCCAGAACCAUUGAGUGGAUGGAAGGGAUACCCUCUAGAUAUGGCCAAAAGACCCAUAUAAACACUGGGAGAAAACCCCAAGCACUAAUAUCUUCACAGUGACUGGAGCAAGGAUCAAAACCUACAACACAGGCACAGACAUUACCUGUGACCUGUGACCCCCAGAUUAAUAAACAAUAAUGUAUAUAACAGUGUGCUGGAAUAAUCAGUGUUAACCAGUGUUAUGCUGGUGUUGUUACCAUUUUAACCACAUUACCUAAGAAAGCCUCUAUUUCAAUCCCUCCGGUUCUCUGCGUGUCGGCCUCCUUGCACCUCCUUUGGAUCUCCCUCCAGCAGAUGCGGAUCUUGAAGCGUAGCCUCCGCUCUACAGCAGCUAUGUCUGAUGACAGGACCACAGAAAGCCUCCCACAUACAGUGGAGGGACGCUUGAGCUGCUCUGGGCUUAACGACUGGGAUCAGGAGUCAAGAAAUGCAUAUAAACAUCUGUUAAUGUAUGAAUUGUAAUACAUAAAAAUAAAGCUUUGUGCAGGACAAAGCAUUUAAAACA
Astyanax mexicanus (Mexican tetra) is the source of this 705-nucleotide long non-coding RNA. RefSeq lists it as uncharacterized. NCBI's taxonomy places the organism in Eukaryota, Metazoa, Chordata, Actinopteri, Characiformes, Acestrorhamphidae. The record is from RefSeq and is a predicted model, not a curated record. The transcript has 2 exons.